UACGUAGGUGGCGAGCGUUGUCCGGAAUUAUUGGGCGUAAAGGGCGUGUGGCGGGAUAUUAAGUCUUAAGUAUAAAUGCGAAGCUUAACUUCGUAUUGCUUAAGAAACUGAUAUUCUUGAGUUAAGGAGAGGAAAGCGGAAUUCCCAGUGUAGCGGUGAAAUGCGUAGAGAUUGGGAGGAACACCAGUGGCGAAGGCGGCUUUCUGGACUUAUACUGACGCUGAGGCGCGAAAGCCAGGGGAGCGAACGGG
This 251-nucleotide ribosomal RNA is filed under the name uncultured bacterium. Its description in RNAcentral is "partial 16S ribosomal RNA". It matches the Rfam family "Bacterial small subunit ribosomal RNA", at positions 524 to 776 of the family's 1533-position model. The record is from RNAcentral.